Molecule: ribosomal RNA, 491 nt
Filed under: Salmonella enterica
Lineage: Bacteria; Pseudomonadati; Pseudomonadota; Gammaproteobacteria; Enterobacterales; Enterobacteriaceae
Also listed under: 2 other names
Description: partial 23S ribosomal RNA
Rfam family: Bacterial large subunit ribosomal RNA
Source: RNAcentral
UGCCCUGGCAGUCAGAGGCGAUGAAGGGCGUGCUAAUCUGCGAUAAGCGCCGGUAAGGUGAUAUGAACCGUUAUAACCGGCGAUACCCGAAUGGGGAAACCCAGUGUGACUCGUCACACUAUCAUUAACUGAAUCCAUAGGUUAAUGAGGCGAACCGGGGGAACUGAAACAUCUAAGUACCCCGAGGAAAAGAAAUCAACCGAGAUUCCCCCAGUAGCGGCGAGCGAACGGGGAGGAGCCCAGAGCCUGAAUCAGCAUGUGUGUUAGUGGAAGCGUCUGGAAAGGCGCGCGAUACAGGGUGACAGCCCCGUACACAAAAGCGCAUGUGCUGUGAGCUCGAUGAGUAGGGCGGGACACGUGGUAUCCUGUCUGAAUAUGGGGGGACCAUCCUCCAAGGCUAAAUACUCCUGACUGACCGAUAGUGAACCAGUACCGUGAGGGAAAGGCGAAAAGAACCCCGGCGAGGGGAGUGAAAAAGAACCUGAAACCGU